UUGCUAUGAUGAGUACAUUCAGUUCAGAGAGCUCUAAAAUGCUUGGUGAAGCAUCGACUGGAAUGUCGAUCCUGAGCGGUUACCUGAGCAA
Salvia splendens (bonfire salvia) is the source of this 91-nucleotide small nucleolar RNA. RefSeq annotates it as small nucleolar RNA snoR128. The transcript has a single exon. Lineage: Eukaryota; Viridiplantae; Streptophyta; Magnoliopsida; Lamiales; Lamiaceae. The record is from RefSeq and is a predicted model, not a curated record.